UAGGAAGUGGUGUAGAGGAAGCACUGAGAGUUUUGAUCUCUCCAGGUGGGGUUCAAGUCCCCUCUUUCUAA
Molecule: transfer RNA, 71 nt
Filed under: Nuchequula nuchalis
Lineage: Eukaryota; Metazoa; Chordata; Actinopteri; Chaetodontiformes; Leiognathidae
Also listed under: 1 other name
Description: tRNA-Gln
Rfam family: tRNA
About the family: Transfer RNA (tRNA) molecules are approximately 80 nucleotides in length. Their secondary structure includes four short double-helical elements and three loops (D, anti-codon, and T loops). Further hydrogen bonds mediate the characteristic L-shaped molecular structure. tRNAs have two regions of fundamental functional importance: the anti-codon, which is responsible for specific mRNA codon recognition, and the 3' end, to which the tRNAs corresponding amino acid is attached (by aminoacyl-tRNA synthetases). tRNAs cope with the degeneracy of the genetic code in two manners: having more than one tRNA (with a specific anti-codon) for a particular amino acid; and 'wobble' base-pairing, i.e. permitting non-standard base-pairing at the 3rd anti-codon position.
Source: RNAcentral